AUCUAAAAUACUCUUGUAUUGAAUUAUACUAUUUAAGGACAUCAUGUUACUUGGAUCCUGAAAAUAUAUCGAAAGUUAUUGCAGCGUAGAGAUGGUAGAAGCUUACA
Cotesia glomerata is the source of this 107-nucleotide long non-coding RNA. RefSeq lists it as uncharacterized. NCBI's taxonomy places the organism in Eukaryota, Metazoa, Arthropoda, Insecta, Hymenoptera, Braconidae. The transcript is spliced from 2 exons. The record is from RefSeq and is a predicted model, not a curated record.